This 337-nucleotide long non-coding RNA is filed under the name Homo sapiens (human). RNAcentral's name for it is "HSALNT0171271". Lineage: Eukaryota; Metazoa; Chordata; Mammalia; Primates; Hominidae. The record is from RNAcentral.
AUGCUUUGAACGUGGAGCCCCUUGGCCUGGAAUAGCUUCCUGAUACUCUGAGUCCCUGGGCAGUUCCAACUCCCUGGAGAGUCUGGGCUUCCAGAGAGUUCUGAAGGAGAGUCCGGGGCAGGCAUGGGGCUGCAGCAGGGGCUCGCUGGUGUGGGAGAGAGGAACGCUGGCCAGAGGAGAGCUGCAGAGUGAAGGCAUGGAGGAGCCUCCUGGCGGAGCAGAGGAUGGCAGGGGGUUGCUGCCGCUCUGUGCUCUCCACCAUAGACUCCCAGAGCCUGAGAAACCGGGGGUCCUGGUGACAACCUCAUCCAACCCGCUCAGUUCAACCAUUUUCUCA